RNAcentral lists this transfer RNA (75 nucleotides) under Allocoprobacillus halotolerans. RNAcentral describes it as "Erysipelotrichaceae bacterium LH1062 tRNA-Lys". It matches the Rfam family "tRNA". From Rfam's summary of the family: Transfer RNA (tRNA) molecules are approximately 80 nucleotides in length. Their secondary structure includes four short double-helical elements and three loops (D, anti-codon, and T loops). Lineage: Bacteria; Bacillati; Bacillota; Erysipelotrichia; Erysipelotrichales; Erysipelotrichaceae. The record is from RNAcentral.
GACCCGCUAGCUCAGUAGGUAGAGCAUCUGACUUUUAAUCAGAGGGUCAGGCGUUCGAGUCGCCUGCGGUCACCA